UCCGACGGGUGGAGCCUGCGGUUUAUUGGACUCACGCCGGGCAGCUCACCGGAUAGGACAGCGGAAUGAUAGCCGGGCUGAAGACCUUGCUUGACCAGCUGAGAGGAGGUGCAUGGCCGUCGUCAGUUCGUACUGUGAAGCAUCCUGUUUAGUCAGGCAACGAGCGAGACCCACGCCAACAGUUGCUAGCAUGUUCUCCGGAAUGAUGAGGACACUGUUGGGACCGCCUCUGCUAAAGAGGAGGAAGGAAUGGGCAACGGUAGGUCAGCAUGCCCCGAAUUAUCCGGGCUACACGCGGGCUACAAUGGUCAAGGACAAUGGGAAACGGCACUGAAAAGUGUAGUCAAUCUCCUAAACCUGUCCCAAGUUCGGAUUGUGGGCUGCAACUCGCCCACAUGAAGCUGGAAUCCGUAGUAAUCGCGUUUCAAAAUAGCGCGGUGAAUAAGUCCCUGUCCCAUUGCACACAU
Molecule: ribosomal RNA, 467 nt
Filed under: Methanoculleus marisnigri
Lineage: Archaea; Methanobacteriati; Methanobacteriota; Methanomicrobia; Methanomicrobiales; Methanomicrobiaceae
Description: bacterial SSU rRNA
Rfam family: Archaeal small subunit ribosomal RNA
Source: RNAcentral